UACGUAGGGUGCGAGCGUUAAUCGGAAUUACUGGGCGUAAAGUGUGCGCAGGCGGCCGAGCAAGUCGAGUGUGAAAGCCCCGGGCUUAACUUGGGAAUUGCGCUCGAAACUACUUGGCUGGAGUGUGGCAGAGGAAGGUGGAAUUCCAGGUGUAGCGGUGAAAUGCGUAGAGAUCUGGAGGAACACCCGUAGCGAAGGCGGCACUCUGGGCCGAUACUGACACUGAGGAGCGAAAGCGUGGGGAGCGAACAGG
This 253-nucleotide ribosomal RNA is filed under the name uncultured bacterium. RNAcentral describes it as "partial 16S ribosomal RNA". It matches the Rfam family "Bacterial small subunit ribosomal RNA", at positions 524 to 776 of the family's 1533-position model. The record is from RNAcentral.